This 419-nucleotide ribosomal RNA is filed under the name Pseudomonas anguilliseptica. RNAcentral describes it as "bacterial SSU rRNA". It matches the Rfam family "Bacterial small subunit ribosomal RNA", at positions 30 to 449 of the family's 1533-position model. The record is from RNAcentral. Lineage: Bacteria; Pseudomonadati; Pseudomonadota; Gammaproteobacteria; Pseudomonadales; Pseudomonadaceae.
AUUGAACGCUGGCGGCAGGCCUAACACAUGCAAGUCGAGCGGUAGAGAGAAGCUUGCUUCUCUUGAGAGCGGCGGACGGGUGAGUAAUGCCUAGGAAUCUGCCUAGUGGUGGGGGAUAACGUUCGGAAACGGACGCUAAUACCGCAUACGUCCUACGGGAGAAAGCGGGGGAUCUUCGGACCUCGCGCCAUUAGAUGAGCCUAGGUCGGAUUAGCUAGUUGGUGAGGUAAUGGCUCACCAAGGCAACGAUCCGUAACUGGUCUGAGAGGAUGAUCAGUCACACUGGAACUGAGACACGGUCCAGACUCCUACGGGAGGCAGCAGUGGGGAAUAUUGGACAAUGGGCGAAAGCCUGAUCCAGCCAUGCCGCGUGUGUGAAGAAGGUCUUCGGAUUGUAAAGCACUUUAAGUUGGGAGGAA